GUCUAUAGCCAUGCCACCCUGAACAUAUCCAAUAUCUGAUCUCAGAAGCUAAACAGGGUCAGGCCUGGUUAGUACUUGGAUGGGAGACCACCUAGGAAGACCAGGUGCUGUAAGCA
RNAcentral lists this ribosomal RNA (116 nucleotides) under Pteropus alecto (black flying fox). Lineage: Eukaryota; Metazoa; Chordata; Mammalia; Chiroptera; Pteropodidae. The record is from RNAcentral.